AGUCGUAACAAGGUUUCCGUAGGUGAACCUGCGGAAGGAUCAUUAAUAAAUGGUCUACGUUUUUUAAGUAGACGCUUAAUAAUCCUACCCUUUGUGAAUUUGUUUGUUUGAAAUAAUUUUUUUAAAAUUAUGAAUGUCUUUCCCUGUUGAAUUGGUUGUCUUUAAUGGCAAGUGAUUCGCAGGGGAGUGUCAAUAAUUUUAAAAAAGACCUUUUUUAAAAUUAAGCUUUUUGUAUUCAUUUGUCUAAAAUUAUUUUUAUAAUAUAAAAACAACUUUUGACAAUGGAUCUCUUGGUUCUCGCAACGAUGAAGAACGCAGCAAAAUGCGAUAAGUAGUGUGAAUUGCAGAAUACGUGAAUCAUCGAAUCUUCGAACGCAUAUUGCACUUUUUAGUUUACUAAAAAAGUAUGUCUGUUUGAGUAUCAGUAAAAUAUUCUCAUAAAAAACAUUGUUUUUUAUGGUUAUGAGUGUUUUACAACGAUACAAGUUGUUUCACUUUAAAUUUUUUUAAAAUUUGAAUUUUUCUAAUUUUAAAAUAAAAUGGAUAAAAUUUCCCGUAAAAAGGAAUAACCUAAACAAUUUUAAUUUUUGAUUAGAAAAUCCAAACUAAAAGGAAAUUUAACUAAAUAACUUGAUCUCAAAUCAGAUAAGAGUACCCGCUGAACUUAAGCAUAUCAAUAAGCGGAGGAAAAGAAACUAACAAGGAUUCCCUUAGUAACAGCGAGUGAAGCGGGAAGAGCUCAAAUUUGAAAUCUUCAAGGUUUUACCUUGACGAAUUGUAGUUUAAAGAAGUGUUUUCUGUUGAAGUUUUGGUAAAAGUUCUUUGGAAUAGGACAUCAUAGAGGGUGAGAAUCCCGUAUUUGACCAUUAUUUCAGCUGUGUGAUACACUUCAAAGAGUCGGAUUGUUUGGGAAUGCAGUCCAAAAUGGGUGGUAAAUUUCAUCUAAAGCUAAAUAUUGGCGAGAGACGAUAGCGAACAAGUACCGUGAGGGAAAGAUGAAAAGAACUUUGAAAAGAGAGUUAAACAGUACGUGAAAUUGUCAAAAGGGAAGCGUUUGACACCAGUGUUGUUUUCUCGAAAAUCAAUUAAAAAAAGUUGGAUUUUGUGUUGUAUUGACCUUAACAGCUUGCUUCACUCUUUUCCUGCUUUUUUUAAUGCACUUUUCGUUUAACAAGUCAACAUCAGUUUCUUUGUUGUAAAAGGGUCAUUGGAAGGUGGCUUUCUCUUCGGAGAAAGUGUUUAUAGCCUUUGAUCUCUGCAAUCGGAGAGACUGAGGUCUGCAGCGUAGAUCCUUCGGGGUUAGAUACAUUUGUGCUAAGCUACAGCUUUUCAUAGACAACUUGUUGACUAUGUUUAGUCUUGUGACUUACCCGCUUAUGCUAUUUUACCUACGCUUAGGAUGUUG
RNAcentral lists this unclassified non-coding RNA (1405 nucleotides) under uncultured Neocallimastigales. RNAcentral's name for it is "partial contains small subunit ribosomal RNA, internal transcribed spacer 1, 5.8S ribosomal RNA, internal transcribed spacer 2, and large subunit ribosomal RNA". The stretch from base 632 to 1405 matches the Rfam family "Eukaryotic large subunit ribosomal RNA", at positions 1 to 628 of the family's 3401-position model. The record is from RNAcentral. Lineage: Eukaryota; Fungi; Neocallimastigomycota; Neocallimastigomycetes; Neocallimastigales.